AAAGUUAAAUGGCAAACCUAUUGAAAAAUAGGGACGCAAAGCCACGGGCCUAACGUUAUUACAACUAUGGUAGCCGGGUUACCAAA
Molecule: regulatory RNA element, 86 nt
Rfam family: c-di-GMP-I riboswitch aptamer
About the family: GEMM was predicted in a large-scale screen for bacterial structured RNA regulatory elements. Genes associated with GEMM are involved in a diverse array of functions, including chemotaxis regulation, signal transduction, secretion and chitin.
Source: Rfam